UGUUCACUCUCACUCUGUCUGCAAACUAUUCCCUAAUAAAUACUGAAUCUGUAUGGGUGAGCACACACUUUAGGUUUGGAACACACUUUGAACUAAAUCCAACUGGUUAGAGUGAAUGGCUUACUGCAUAAGAGAGGUUGUACUGCACAUCAUCAACUCCAAGGGUCACAGUGGAUCUGGAGGCGUGAGAAGGGAAUACAUCAUGGCUGGGACUCCAGUUCAUUGCGGGGCAGCAUGCACACAUACCACCUACCAUCAUGUUUUUAGCAAGUAGGCGGAAACCUGAGAACCCCGAAGAACACAAACAUUUCCCUGAGCUCAGGAGCAAACUGUGGAGCCUGAAGCUAUGAGACAGCAACACUACCUGCUGUGCCACUGUGCCACCCAGUAAGUGCAGAAUGGUAAUACGCUCAGCAGGAAGCCAGACUGAAACCUCUGAGGUGGAAGAUGGAGACAGUGCUGUGAUUUGCGCACUUGCCUCUAAGAGUUGCAGUAAAUGUGCAAUCAAUUGUUUGGUUUGACAGCACUCUGGAUAUCAACUUUCAUUAAACAUUAAGUUUCCGGAGAAUAAGAAAUACUUUUAAGCUGAAAACAAUCACUUAGCACAAUGACGCCCCGAAUGGACUACAGAAUGUUACUCCCUGGGCAAUUAGUAUAAAUAUAAAAUGC
Long non-coding RNA from Ictalurus punctatus (channel catfish), 669 nucleotides. Lineage: Eukaryota; Metazoa; Chordata; Actinopteri; Siluriformes; Ictaluridae. The record is from Ensembl.